CGUUAUGGUGGCUGUAUGCGGGAGACCCUCGUGGUCUACCCGGGUGCCUUUGACCGGUUCGCUAACCCGCGUACAGCCGCCACCCUU
Molecule: non-coding RNA, 87 nt
Filed under: Pseudomonas moraviensis
Lineage: Bacteria; Pseudomonadati; Pseudomonadota; Gammaproteobacteria; Pseudomonadales; Pseudomonadaceae
Source: RNAcentral